GUAGCUCAGCUGGAUAGAGCAACGGCCUUCUAAGCCGUGGGUCGGGGGUUCGAAUCCCUUUGG
This 63-nucleotide transfer RNA is filed under the name uncultured Eisenbergiella sp. It matches the Rfam family "tRNA", at positions 8 to 63 of the family's 71-position model. From Rfam's summary of the family: Transfer RNA (tRNA) molecules are approximately 80 nucleotides in length. The record is from RNAcentral. Lineage: Bacteria; Bacillati; Bacillota; Clostridia; Lachnospirales; Lachnospiraceae.